CCUGAAAAGGGAUGGCGCUGAAGCGUCGCGCCUAUACUCGGCCGUCAGCGGCAAGUGGGGCGGCGAGCAGCGAUGUUCGUCGUCAUGAAGCCCUGACGAGUAGGAGGGUCGCGGCGGUGUGCGCAGAAGGGUCUGGGCGUGAGCCUGCCUGGAGCCGCCGUCGGUGCAGAUCUUGGUGGUAGUAGCAAAUACUCCAGCGAGGCCCUGGAGGACUGACGUGGAGAAGGGUUUCGUGUGAACAGCCGUUGCACACGAGUCAGUCGAUCCUAAGCCCUAGGAGAAAUCCUAUGUUGAUGACGGUGUAUCAUUCUAAAGUAUUUAACUAAAGUGCACACCCGUCGGGCGAAAGGGAAUCCGGUUCCUAUUCCGGAACCCGGCAGCGGAACCGCAUACAAUUCGGGCCCUCGAAAGAGUGUUCGUCGGGGUAACCCAAAGUGACCUGGAGACGCCGUCGGGAGAUCCGGGAAGAGUUUUCUUUUCUGUAUAAGCGUUCGAGUUCCCUGGAAACCUCUAGCAGGGAGA
RNAcentral lists this ribosomal RNA (522 nucleotides) under Salmonella enterica subsp. enterica serovar Typhimurium. Its description in RNAcentral is "partial 23S ribosomal RNA". It matches the Rfam family "Eukaryotic large subunit ribosomal RNA", at positions 1311 to 1741 of the family's 3401-position model. The record is from RNAcentral. Lineage: Bacteria; Pseudomonadati; Pseudomonadota; Gammaproteobacteria; Enterobacterales; Enterobacteriaceae.